GACGAACGCUGGCGGCGUGCUUAACACAUGCAAGUCGAACGGUGAAGCGCCUUCCUUUUUGGUGGGUGUGGAUGAGUGGCGAACGGGUGAGUAACACGUGAGUAACCUGCCCCCUUCUUCUGGAUAACCGCAUGAAAGUGUGGCUAAUACGGGAUAUUCUGGGUCUGUCGCAUGAUGGGUCUGGGAAAGAUAUUGUUUCGGUGGGGGAUGGGCUCGCGGCCUAUCAGCUUGUUGGUGGGGUGAUGGCCGACCAAGGCGGUGACGGGUAGCCGGCCUGAGAGGGUGGACGGUCACACUGGGACUGAGACACGGCCCAGACUCCUACGGGAGGCAGCAGUGGGGAAUAUUGCACAAUGGGCGCAAGCCUGAUGCAGCGACGCCGCGUGAGGGAUGGAGGCCUUCGGGUUGUGAACCUCUUUCGCCAGUGAAGCAGGCCUGCCUCGUUUGUGGGUGGGUUGACGGUAGCUGGAUAAGAAGCGCCGGCUAACUACGUG
Molecule: ribosomal RNA, 494 nt
Filed under: uncultured bacterium
Lineage: Bacteria
Description: partial 16S ribosomal RNA
Rfam family: Bacterial small subunit ribosomal RNA
Source: RNAcentral